This 773-nucleotide ribosomal RNA is filed under the name Bacillus thuringiensis. RNAcentral's name for it is "bacterial SSU rRNA". It matches the Rfam family "Bacterial small subunit ribosomal RNA", at positions 55 to 802 of the family's 1533-position model. Lineage: Bacteria; Bacillati; Bacillota; Bacilli; Caryophanales; Bacillaceae. The record is from RNAcentral.
AUGCAAGUCGAGCGAAUGGAUUGAGAGCUUGCUCUCAAGAAGUUAGCGGCGGACGGGUGAGUAACACGUGGGUAACCUGCCCAUAAGACUGGGAUAACUCCGGGAAACCGGGGCUAAUACCGGAUAACAAUUUUGAACCAGCAUGGUUCGAAAUUGAAAGGCGGCUUCGGCUGUCACUUAUGGAUGGACCCGCGUCGCAUUAGCUAGUUGGUGAGGUAACGGCUCACCAAGGCAACGAUGCCGUAGCCGACCUGAGAGGGUGAUCGGCCACACUUGGGACUUGAGACACGGCCCAGACUCCUACGGGAGGCAGCAGUAGGGAAUCUUCCGCAAUGGACGAAAGUCUGACGGAGCAACGCCGCGUGAGUGAUGAAGGCUUUCGGGUCGUAAAACUCUGUUGUUAGGGAAGAACAAGUGCUAGUUGAAUAAGCUGGCACCUUGACGGUACCUAACCAGAAAGCCACGGCUAACUACGUGCCAGCAGCCGCGGUAAUACGUAGGUGGCAAGCGUUAUCCGGAAUUAUUGGGCGUAAAGCGCGCGCAGGUGGUUUCUUAAGUCUGAUGUGAAAGCCCACGGCUCAACCGUGGAGGGUCAUUGGAAACUGGGAGACUUGAGUGCAGAAGANGAAAGUGGAAUUCCAUGUGUAGCGGUGAAAUGCGUAGAGAUAUGGAGGAACACCAGUGGCGAAGGCGACUUUUCUGGUCUGUAACUGACACUGAGGCCCGAAAGCGUGGGGAGCAAACAGGAUUAGAUACCCUGGUAGUCCACGCCG